RNAcentral lists this long non-coding RNA (300 nucleotides) under Solanum tuberosum (potato). RNAcentral describes it as "long non-coding RNA (STUB_LNC007533)". The record is from RNAcentral. Lineage: Eukaryota; Viridiplantae; Streptophyta; Magnoliopsida; Solanales; Solanaceae.
UUAGUAUUUUUUACUUCUUCUAAUUGUUGUACUUCCUUUUUUGCUUGUUGCUUUAUUUUUUCAAUUUCCGUUUUUCUAUCUAUUUCUUCAUUUUCUUUUGUUAUUCUUAUCAUAGCAGUUAAACUAUCUUCUAGUUUUACCGUUUCUUUUUCUAACAUUAAAUUUAGAUUGUCACCUAUUUUCUUAUAUCUUCUUCCUAGAUUAGAAAAUAUUAUCUUUAUUUUUAAUCCGUCAUAGUUUUCAUAUGUUUUUUCAUCUAUUGCAUAUUCUUCUUUAUUCAUUUAUGAGUUGUGUUGUAGU